UACGAAGGGGGCUAGCGUUGCUCGGAAUCACUGGGCGUAAAGCGCACGUAGGCGGAUCUUUAAGUCGGGGGUGAAAUCCUGGAGCUCAACUCCAGAACUGCCUUCGAUACUGAAGAUCUCGAGUCCGGGAGAGGUGAGUGGAACUGCGAGUGUAGAGGUGAAAUUCGUAGAUAUUCGCAAGAACACCAGUGGCGAAGGCGGCUCACUGGCCCGGUACUGACGCUGAUGAGCGAAAGCCAGGGGAGCAAACGGG
RNAcentral lists this ribosomal RNA (253 nucleotides) under uncultured bacterium. Its description in RNAcentral is "partial 16S ribosomal RNA". It matches the Rfam family "Bacterial small subunit ribosomal RNA", at positions 524 to 776 of the family's 1533-position model. The record is from RNAcentral.